UGAAAUUAGUUCUAAGUAAGUUAUUUAAUAUACUACAAACAUUUAUUAGGUACUUAUUAAAAUAUGAAUGUUUCAAAUUUUUUUUUAGCUGUUGUCAUAGACAAUGUCGAUUGGAUUGUCUAUCAGCCUUCAUGAACAUCCCCAAAUGACGAACCCUGCGGUAACAUAUUCAGUAUUAUAUAAACAAUUAAAUUUUUCUUACAUUAAUUCAGUGUAAAAUUAUUGCAGUUUGAUAAUAAUAAACAAUGUCUCUUCAUAAUGAACGAUUAAAAAUACAUACAGAACUGUGUGUAUAGUUGGCAGAGGUCAAUGCAGCGGUGGUGGUUCCAUUCAUCAUUGGCGAACUUGGGGCCUGAGAUCCAUCCGACAACAAUGAUCUGUUU
Molecule: long non-coding RNA, 383 nt
Filed under: Cinara cedri
Lineage: Eukaryota; Metazoa; Arthropoda; Insecta; Hemiptera; Aphididae
Source: RNAcentral